This 223-nucleotide long non-coding RNA is filed under the name Theobroma cacao (cacao). Its description in RNAcentral is "long non-coding RNA (TCAC_LNC003697)". Lineage: Eukaryota; Viridiplantae; Streptophyta; Magnoliopsida; Malvales; Malvaceae. The record is from RNAcentral.
GCAAUUGUUAAAACAUCAACUGUUAUGAGAGAAAUCAUGAACCUAGAAUAAAUGAGUAUUUAAGUAGAUAUUCAACAUUUUCAGCUAAUACUUAAAUAUUCUUGAAACUAGAUGUCACGACCCGGUACUCCCUUCGAGCCCGUGACAACCGCAGCGGUGUCUCGAUCGACACUCAUUAUCCGAAAUGUCAACCCAAACCUUGCAAGGCUUUAAUAUCAGUUUC